This 573-nucleotide ribosomal RNA is filed under the name Platyceps saharicus. RNAcentral's name for it is "partial 12S ribosomal RNA". Lineage: Eukaryota; Metazoa; Chordata; Lepidosauria; Squamata; Colubridae. The record is from RNAcentral.
AAAUAAGUUAUAUGUUAGAGAAUGAAACCAAACUGGGCUGUAAAAAGCCAUAAGUCACAAUAACCACUCUAACAAAAACAAAUUCCACUCGUGAAAGUUAGGACACAAACUAAGAUUAGAUACCUUACUAUGCCUAACUGUAACACAACAAUUAAACUACCAAUUGUUCGCCAAAUAACUACGAGUAAAAACUUAAAAUUUAAAAGACUUGACGGUACCUCAUAACAGCCUAGAGGAGCCUGUCCAUAACCGAUACUCCACGAUUAACCCAACCCCCCCUAGCCAAAUCAGUCUAUAUACCGCCGUCGCCAGCCUACCUUAUGAAAGAAAAAAAGUAAGCAAAACAGCCACACACUAACACGACAGGUCGAGGUGUAACUAAUGGGGGGGGCCAAGAUGGGCUACAUUUUCUACUACAGAAUAAACGAAUAAACUAUGAAAAAGAAACUGAAGGCGGAUUUAGCAGUAAACUGGGAAUAUAUAUACCCAAUCGAAAUAAAUGCAAUGAGGUGCGUACACACCGCCCGUCAUCCCUGUUGACAAAUAUAAUACAUCCAUAAACACAAAAUUACC